Molecule: ribosomal RNA, 239 nt
Filed under: uncultured bacterium
Lineage: Bacteria
Description: partial 16S ribosomal RNA
Rfam family: Bacterial small subunit ribosomal RNA
Source: RNAcentral
CGAGUGGCGGACGGGUGAGUAAUGUCUGGGAAACUGCCCGAUGGAGGGGGAUAACUACUGGAAACGGUAGCUAAUACCGCAUAAUGUCUACGGACCAAAGCGGGGGACCUCCGGGCCUCGCGCCAUCAGAUGAACCCAUAUGGGAUUAGCUAGUAGGUAAGGUAACGGCUUACCUAGGCGACGAUCCCUAGCUGGUCUGAGAGGAUGAUCAGCCACACUGGGACUGAGACACGGCCCAA